RNAcentral lists this long non-coding RNA (4052 nucleotides) under Triticum aestivum (bread wheat). RNAcentral's name for it is "long non-coding RNA (TAES_LNC002810)". The record is from RNAcentral. Lineage: Eukaryota; Viridiplantae; Streptophyta; Magnoliopsida; Poales; Poaceae.
GAUAAACUUGAUCAUAAACACACAAUUCAUCGGAUCUCGACAAACACACUGCAAAAAGAGUUACAUAGAAUAGAUCUCCAAGAAGAUCAAGGAGAACAUGGUAUUGGGAUCCAAAGAGAGAGAAAAGGCCAUCUAGCUGAUAACUAUGGACCCGAAGGUCUGUGGCAAACUACUCACAACUCAUCGGAGAGGCCUUGGACAUGAUGUAGAGGCCCUCCGUAGUCGAUUCCCCCUCCGGUGGAGCACCGGCGAAGCCUCCAAGAUGGGAUCUCGCGGAUACAGAAGGUUGCGGCGGUGGAAUUAGGUUUUCGUUGGCUCCCGUGAUGUUCUCGGGGUACGUGGGUAUAUAUAGGAGGAAGAAGUAGGUCAGUGGACUCUCGACGGGCCCACGAGAUAGGGGGCGCGCCCAGUAGGGGGGGCACCCUCCACCCUCGUGGCCACCUUGAUUGUUGCAUGACUUCCACUUAAGUCCUCUAGAUCAUGUUUGUUCCAAAAAUCACGCUCCCGAAGGUUUCAUUCCGUUUGGACUCCGUUUGAUAUUCCUUUUCUUCGAAACACUGAAAUAGGCAAAAAAACAGCAUUACGGGCUGGGCCUCCGGUUAGUAGGUUAGUCCCAAAAAUGAUAUAAAUGUGUAAAGUAAAGCCCAUAAACAUCCAAAAUGGGUAAUAUAAUAGCAUGGAACAAUAAAAAAUUAUAAAUAUGUUGGAGACGUAUCAGCAUACAUGAUAGAACCUAUGGUUGAGGCAUAGGGAAUGACUUUCAUUUUCUCUCUAUCUUCUACAGUGGUCCGGCAUUGAGUCUGACUCAACUUCACACCUUGUAACACAGGCAAGAACCCUUUCUUUGACUGAUCCAUUUUGAACUUCUUCAAAACUUUAUCAAGGUAUGUGCUUUGUGAAAGUCCUAUUAAGCAUCUUGAUCUAUCUCUAUAGAUCUUGAUGCCCGAUAUAUAAGCCGUUUCACCGGUCUUUCAUGAAAAACCUUUUAUUCAAGUACCCUUUUAUGCUAUCUAGAAAUUCUAUAUCAUUUCCAAUCAACAAUAUGUUAUCUACAUAUAAUAUUAGAAAUUCUAUAGAGCUCCCACUCACUUUCUUGUAAAUACAGGCUUCUCCAAAAGUCUAUAUAAAACCAUAUGCUUUGAUCACCUCAUCAAAGCAUAUAUUCCAACUCCGAGAUGUUUGCACCAGUCCAUCAAUGGAUCGCUGGAGCUUUCACACUUUGUUAGCACCUUUAGGAUCGACAAAACCUUCUGGUUGCAUCAUAUACAACUCUUCUUUAAGAAAUCCAUUAAGGAAUGCAGUUUUGACGUCCAUUUGCCAGAUUGAAGUCCUCCAAGUAGCAUCUCCAAGUAGCACCGCAUAGCAUAAUCCUACCCGGCGAUCCUCCCCUCGUCGCCCUGUGGAAAAGCGAUCACCGGGUUGUCUGUGGAACUUGGAAGGGUGUGUUUUAUUAAGUAUCCGAUUCUAGUUGUCAUAAGGUCAAGGUACAACUCCAAGUCGUCCUGUUACCGAAGAUCACGACAAUUCGAAUAGAUUAACUUCCCUGUAGGGGUGCACCACAUAACCCAACACGCUCGAUCCCAUUUGGCCGCACACACUUUCCUGGGUCAUGCCCGGCCUCGGAAGAUCAACACAUCGCAGCCCCACCUGGGCACAACAGAGAGGUCAGCACGCCGGUCUAAAUCCUAUGCACGCAUGGGUCUGGGCCCAUCGCCCAUUGCACACCUGCACGUUGCGAGGGCGGUCAGAAGCAGACCUAGCCUCCCUUAUACAAGAGUAGGCGUUCCAGUACAAUCCGGCGCGCGCCGCUCCGUCGCUGACGUCAAGAAGGCUUCGGCUGAUACCACGAUGUCGAGUGCCCAUAACUGUUCCCGCGUAGUUGGUUAGUGCAUAUAGGCCAGUAGCCAGACUCAGAUCAAAUACCAAGAUCUCGUUAAACGUCUUAAGUAUCCGCGAACGCCGACCAGGGCCAGGCCCACCUGUCUCCUAGGUGGUCUCAACCUGCCAUGUCGCUCCGCCACAAAGUAACAGUCGGGGGCCGUUGGGAACCCAGGCCCACCUCUACCGGGAUGGAGCCACCUGUCCUUCCAGCCCCCACAUCGGAACCACUUGCGGGUACUCAACAAGCUGACCCGACUUUAGUCACCAUCUGUAUAGGAUAUGUAUGUAUAGUAAAUACCCGUGAUCACCUCCCGAGUGAUCAUGACCCGAUAGUAUAGCAAGGCAGACUGACAAGAAUGUAGGGCCAAUGAUGAUAAACUAGAAUCCUAUACUAGGCAUUUAGGAUUGCGGGUAAGGUAUCAAUGACUGUAGCAACAAUGACAGGCUAUGCAACAGAAUAGGAGUAACCGAACAGUAACAUGCUACACUACUCUAAUGCAAGCAGUGUAGAGAAGAAUAGGCGAUAUCUGGUGAUCAAAGGAGGGGCUUGCCUGGUUGCUCUGGCAAGGAGGGGUCGUCAACUCCGUAGUCGAACUGGGGGUCGCCGGCAGUCUCGGGGUCUACUGGAAAAAAGUAACGGAGGGGGAACACAAUAAAUAACAGAGCAAUCAAAGCAUCACAAAGCAUAACAUGGCAAUACGCGGUGCUAGGUAUGCCCUAACGCGGUAGUAGGUGGUACCGGCGAAAGGGGGAAACAUCCGGGAAAGUAUCCCCGGUGUUUCGCGUUUCCGGACAGAUGAACCAGAGGUGAAAAGUUGCGAGUUCGAUAGGUUAGGGAGGUGUGCCGGAUGAACGGGCUGCGUAUCCAGAUUCGUCUCGUCGUUCUGAGCAACUUUCAUGUAGAAAGUAUUUUCAUCCGAGCUACGGUUUAUUUUAUACUUCCUCUGUAAACUAAUAUAAGAGUGUUUAGAUAACUACUUUAGUAUUCUAAACACUCUUAUAUUAGUUUAUGGAGGGAGUACUAAUUUAAAAAGAUUUAAUCAUUUCCUAGAUUUCCUGGAUUUAAUUUAAUUCGAAAUUAAAAACAGAAUAUACUUUCGUCACCUAGUGCUACCCUAGCAUGUGAGUAUGACAGUGGGGCCAGUGGGGUUGGGUUGACCCAGUCAAAGGUUGACUGGUCAACAUAUGAAUAGUGUAAGUGGGUCCCAUGUGUCAUUGUCUUUUGUUUAAUAAAAUGGUAAUUAACCAGGGUGGUCCCACAUGUCAUUUACACUAUACCUAACCACUACUUAGCAUAACUACUAAUUAGCUAACCUACCUAACCAGGAUCAGCCUCAUCCACACACAUACGCACACACACAACGCGCUCACACACACACACAACUACGCACACAUCACACACACACACUGGCGCACACGGCCAUGGCCGUGGCCAGCAGCAGCAGGCAACGGCGGGCAGCGGCGGCUCCUAGUGGCAGCAGCAGUACGAGAGCAGCAGGGGGCACCUAGCAGCAGCAGCAGUACGAAGAGCAGUAGCAAGAGGAGCGGCAAGAAUAGCAGCACGCAUCGGCAGUAUGCAGCAGCAAGGACGCAGCAGCGGCACAAGCAGUAGCAGGCAACAUCGACGAGCACGACAAAGGCGCGACCACGGGGAGGAGCAAGCGAGCGAGCAGGGGCGCGACCUCGCGCACGCGUAGGAGCGCAGCACGCGUACCCGGGCGUGGCCGGCGGCCGAGCGCAAACACUGGGCGGCCAGGACGCAGGGCUCGAGGGCGGUGAGCGUGACGCGGUCGUGGUGGCCGCGGCCAUCGGCCGGAAUUUGGGCAGCGCCACAGAGCGACGAACAGAGGGGGAAACGAGAGGAAUGGGGGUGGCGCUCACAGGGGAAGGCGGAGGACGCGUCCGACGGGGCAGAGGAGCUCCGGUGAGGUAGAUCGGGCGCGGGGCAGCGGCAGCCAUUGGCGAGGUAGAUGCGUCGAUCCCGACGAUGUAGUUGAUCCGGGCUCGCGUAGAAGGGCAGGGGCGGCGUGUGUUGACGCGGCGAAGCUCCCGAACAACCUCCCGUGGCACGGGGAGUCCUCGGGGCACGAGAACGUCGACAAGGUGGAGACGACUCCGUUAGGUGUGCACCAAAACGAUGGGGGCGACGAAGAGGAGAGGGCUAAGUGACC